Molecule: ribosomal RNA, 444 nt
Filed under: uncultured bacterium
Lineage: Bacteria
Description: partial 16S ribosomal RNA
Rfam family: Bacterial small subunit ribosomal RNA
Source: RNAcentral
CUACGGGUUGCUGCAGUGGGGAAUAUUGCACAAUGGGCGCAAGCCUGAUGCAGCAACGCCGCGUGAGGGAUGAAGGCCUUCGGGUUGUAAACCUCUUUUAGCAGGGAAGAAGCGAAAGUGACGGUACCUGCAGAAAAGGCACCGGCUAACUACGUGCCAGCAGCCGCGGUAAUACGUAGGGUGCAAGCGUUGUCCGGAAUUAUUGGGCGUAAAGAGCUCGUAGGCGGUUUGUCACGUCUGCUGUGAAAAUCCAAGGCUCAACCUUGGACUUGCAGUGGGUACGGGCAGGCUAGAGUGCGGUAGGGGAGAGGGGAAUUCCUGGUGUAGCGGUGGAAUGCGCAGAUAUCAGGAGGAACACCAAUGGCGAAGGCACAUCUCUGGGCCGUAGCUGACGCUGAGGAGCGAAAGCGUGGGGAGCGAACAGGAUUAGAUACCCUAGUAGUC